GGGAAACCCGUCUGAUAGCG
RNAcentral lists this small nuclear RNA (20 nucleotides) under Arabidopsis thaliana (thale cress). Its description in RNAcentral is "snRNA_14641". Lineage: Eukaryota; Viridiplantae; Streptophyta; Magnoliopsida; Brassicales; Brassicaceae. The record is from RNAcentral.